GACGAACGCUGGCGGCGUGCUUAACACAUGCAAGUCGAGCGGUAAGGCCCUUUCGGGGGUACACGAGCGGCGAAUGGGUGAGUAACACGUGGGUGACCUGCCCUCAGCUCUGGGAUAAGCCUGGGAAACCGGGUCUAAUACUGGAUAUGACUCCAUGACGCAUGUUGUGGGGUGGAAAGCCUUGUGCGGCUGAGGAUGGGCCCGCGGCCUAUCAGCUUGUUGGUGGGGUGAUGGCCUACCAAGGCGACGACGGGUAGCCGGCCUGAGAGGGCGACCGGCCACACUGGGACUGAGACACGGCCCAGACUCCUACGGGAGGCAGCAGUGGGGAAUCUUGCGCAAUGGGCGAAAGCCUGACGCAGCGACGCCGCGUGAGGGAUGACGGCCUCGGUGUAAC
This 397-nucleotide ribosomal RNA is filed under the name uncultured bacterium. RNAcentral's name for it is "bacterial SSU rRNA". It matches the Rfam family "Bacterial small subunit ribosomal RNA", at positions 28 to 429 of the family's 1533-position model. The record is from RNAcentral.